Molecule: long non-coding RNA, 614 nt
Filed under: Mus musculus (house mouse)
Lineage: Eukaryota; Metazoa; Chordata; Mammalia; Rodentia; Muridae
Description: predicted gene, 32817, transcript variant 21 (Gm32817)
Source: RNAcentral
AGUCCCGGCUAGGGACACAGCUCUUAGACUUUGAGCUAGACAACCAGGAGGACAGGAGGACCUAGUAUCCUGCCUCCAUCAGCCCAUCAUUUAUGCAAAUGCUACUUAGUUGCCGUCUAGAUGCAGGAUGCUGUCUGCCCUGUUAAAUGCUGUGUGAACCCAGAUGGAAGCUGAGCAGACAUCACACUCGUGAGCAGCUCCCCUUCCUAUGUUAUACGACCUCGUUCGCUGAAGUCAAAGAUGCAGAGGGGCCAAGGUGUGGGCUCCGGACCUCACACCAGUGUGGCAGAUUCAACAAGCCCAGAAUAAGCCUCUUCCUUUGCUCACAAUAAGAUUAAGCCAACUGCCUCUUCAUUCCUCAGUCACACUCCUCCUCUGACCCUGCUCCAGGAGGCUCAUCUUGUCAGACUUCACACUGAAUGAGCGCUGAGGAUGCUGUAGAGUAUGAGCUGUGUGCAGGAUUGCUAUCUUCUGGUCCUGUACUCCUCAAGCUCAAAGGCCAACGUCCUGGCAUUUGUGUGACGGCUUUUGCCCUACCCUGCAGAAUUUGCAAUAGGCAGUCUCUACAUGUACUCAGGGCCCAGUGGGCAUUCAACAUGUUCAUUGAAUGACAA